RNAcentral lists this ribosomal RNA (500 nucleotides) under uncultured bacterium. Its description in RNAcentral is "partial 16S ribosomal RNA". It matches the Rfam family "Bacterial small subunit ribosomal RNA", at positions 30 to 523 of the family's 1533-position model. The record is from RNAcentral.
AUUGAACGCUGGCGGCAUGCCUUACACAUGCAAGUCGAACGGCAGCGCGGACUUCGGUCUGGCGGCGAGUGGCGAACGGGUGAGUAAUACAUCGGAACGUACCCUGUUGUGGGGGAUAACUAGUCGAAAGAUUAGCUAAUACCGCAUACGACCUGUGGGUGAAAGUGGGGGACCGCAAGGCCUCACGCAGCAGGAGCGGCCGAUGUCUGAUUAGCUAGUCGGUGGGGUAAAGGCCCACCAAGGCGACGAUCCGUAGCUGGUCUGAGAGGACGAUCAGCCACACUGGGACUGAGACACCGCCCAGACUCCUACUGGAGGCAGCAGUGGGGAAUUCUGGACAGUGGGGGCAACCCUGAUCCAGCAAUGCCGCGUGUGUAAAGAAGGCCUUCGGGUUGUAAAGCACUUUUGUCCGGAAAGAAAUCGCGCUGGUUAAUACCUGGCGUGGAUGACGGUACCGGAAGAAUAAGCACCGGCUAACUACGUGCCAGCAGCCGCGGUAA